UAGCUCAGUUGGUAGAGCAUGGUGUUUGCAACGCCAGGGUUGUGAGUUCAAUUCCCAC
This is a non-coding RNA of Salmo salar (Atlantic salmon), 58 nucleotides long. The record is from Rfam. Lineage: Eukaryota; Metazoa; Chordata; Actinopteri; Salmoniformes; Salmonidae.